UGCCAGACUCCUACGGGAGGCAGCAGUGGGGAAUAUUGCACAAUGGGGGAAACCCUGAUGCAGCGACGCCGCGUGAGUGAAGAAGUAUUUCGGUAUGUAAAGCUCUAUCAGCAGGGAAGAAAAUGACGGUACCUGACUAAGAAGCCCCGGCUAACUACGUGCCAGCAGCCGCGGUAAUACGUAGGGGGCAAGCGUUAUCCGGAUUUACUGGGUGUAAAGGGAGCGUAGACGGCAUGGCAAGUCAGAUGUGAAAGCCCGGGGCUCAACCCCGGGACUGCUCUUGGAACUGCGUGGCUGGAGUGCAGGAGGGGCAGGCGGAAUUCCUGGUGUAGCGGUGAAAUGCGUAGAUAUCAGGAGGAACACCGGUGGCGAAGGCGGCCUGCUGGACUGCAACUGACGUUGAGGCCCGAAAGCGUGGGGAGCAAACAGGAUUAGAUACCCGUGUAC
Molecule: ribosomal RNA, 447 nt
Filed under: uncultured bacterium
Lineage: Bacteria
Description: bacterial SSU rRNA
Rfam family: Bacterial small subunit ribosomal RNA
Source: RNAcentral